This 258-nucleotide long non-coding RNA is filed under the name Physcomitrium patens. RNAcentral's name for it is "long non-coding RNA (PPAT_LNC007503)". Lineage: Eukaryota; Viridiplantae; Streptophyta; Bryopsida; Funariales; Funariaceae. The record is from RNAcentral.
CCUCAAUACAAUAUCCAAUGUAAUCACAAUAAUUGACCUUGAAUUAAAUGAUGGCUAUUAAGACACUAUCAAAGAACAAUCUAAUACUCACUCUGAUACUAAUGAAAUAGUCUAUCUUGAGUGUCUAAGACUCUUCUAAUUCACAACAACAUAAAACCUCAUCACAAAGUAAGGCAAGUUGGAUUAGAACAAAAUUGAGUAAAAUUAAAGAGAAUAGGACAUGAAAGAAAAAAUUGUGCAAAUGAAAAGAGAACAAAA